GUAGGGAAUAUUGCGCAAUGGACGAAAGUCUGACGCAGCGACGCCACGUGAGUGAUGAAGGCCUUAGGGUCGUAAAGCUCUGUUGAAUGGGAAGAAAAAAAUGACGGUACCAUUCGAGGAAGGACCGGCUAACUUCGUGCCAGCAGCCGCGGUAAUACGAGGGGUCCUAGCGAUGUUCGGAAUCAUUGGGCGUAAAGGGUGUGUAGGUGGCCAUGUAAGUAAGGUGUGAAAGCCCCGGGCUCAACCCGGGAAGUGCACUUGAUACUGCGUGGCUUGAGUACCGAAGAGGGUAGUGGAAUUCCAGGUGUAGUGGUGAAAUACGUAGAUAUCUGGAGGAACACCGGUGGCGAAGGCGGCUACCUGGUCGAGUACUGACACUGAGACACGAAAGCAUGGGGAUCAAACAGGAUUAGAAACCCCAGUAGUCC
RNAcentral lists this ribosomal RNA (428 nucleotides) under uncultured bacterium. RNAcentral's name for it is "partial 16S ribosomal RNA". It matches the Rfam family "Bacterial small subunit ribosomal RNA", at positions 354 to 796 of the family's 1533-position model. The record is from RNAcentral.